This 320-nucleotide ribosomal RNA is filed under the name uncultured Prevotella sp. RNAcentral's name for it is "bacterial SSU rRNA". It matches the Rfam family "Bacterial small subunit ribosomal RNA", at positions 28 to 339 of the family's 1533-position model. Lineage: Bacteria; Pseudomonadati; Bacteroidota; Bacteroidia; Bacteroidales; Prevotellaceae. The record is from RNAcentral.
GAUGAACGCUAGCUACAGGCUUAACACAUGCAAGUCGAGGGGCAGCAGGACGAUAGCUUGCUAUUGUUGCUGGCGACCGGCGCACGGGUGAGUAACGCGUAUCCAACCUUCCCCAUAGUAGGGAAUAGCCCGGCGAAAGUCGGAUUAAUGCCCUAUGUUGUAUUUUGAGGACAUCUGACGAAUACCAAAGAUUCAUCGCUAUGGGAUGGGGAUGCGUCUGAUUAGCUUGUUGGCGGGGUAACGGCCCACCAAGGCUACGAUCAGUAGGGGUUCUGAGAGGAAGGUCCCCCACAUUGGUACUGAGACACGGACCAAACUCC